This 416-nucleotide ribosomal RNA is filed under the name uncultured bacterium. RNAcentral describes it as "bacterial SSU rRNA". It matches the Rfam family "Bacterial small subunit ribosomal RNA", at positions 64 to 507 of the family's 1533-position model. The record is from RNAcentral.
GAACGCUUUUGUAGCAAUACAAGAGAGUGGCGGACGGGUGAGGAACACGUGGGUUAUCUACCUUGAGGUGAGGAAUACCGGCGAGAAAUCGCCGACAAUACCGCAUACGUUUGGAAACAAACAAAGCUCGCGGCAACGCGGGCGCCACAAGAUGAGCCUGCGGCCGAUUAGCUAGCUGGUGGGGUAAAGGCCUACCAGGGCGACGAUCGGUAGCUGGUCUGAGAGGACGAUCAGCCACACUGGGAUUGAGAACGGCCCAGACUCCUACGGGGGGCAGCAGUGAGGAAUUUUCGUCAAUGGGGGAAACCCUGAACGAGCAACGCCGCGUGCAGGAAGAAGGUUUUCGGAUCGUAAACUGCUUUUCUCGGGGAAGAGAAUGGACGGUACCCGGGGAAGAAGCCCCGGCUAACUACGUG